UGAGGAAUAUUGGGCAAUGCCCGCAAGGGUGACCCAGCAACGCCGCGUGGAGGAUGAAUGUCGUAAGAUUGUAAACUCCUGUUAGAGGGGAAGAAUAGUACCGGUUGGACCGGUAUAUGACUGUACCCUCAGAGAAAGCCCCGGCUAACUACGUGCCAGCAGCCGCGGUAAUACGUAGGGGGCAAGCGUUGUCCGGAUUUACUGGGUGUAAAGGGCGCGCAGGCGGGAUAAAAAGUCAGUGGUGAAAUCCUACAGCUUAACUGUAGAACUGCCUUUGAUACUUUUAUGCUUGAGUUCGGGAGAGAGAGACGGAAUUCCAGGUGUAGUGGUGAAAUACGUAGAUAUCUGGAAGAACACCAGUUGCGAAGGCGGUCUCUUGGUCCGACACUGACGCUGAGGCGCGAAAGCGUGGGGAGCAAACA
Molecule: ribosomal RNA, 422 nt
Filed under: uncultured bacterium
Lineage: Bacteria
Description: bacterial SSU rRNA
Rfam family: Bacterial small subunit ribosomal RNA
Source: RNAcentral